This 468-nucleotide ribosomal RNA is filed under the name uncultured bacterium. Its description in RNAcentral is "partial 16S ribosomal RNA". It matches the Rfam family "Bacterial small subunit ribosomal RNA", at positions 28 to 507 of the family's 1533-position model. The record is from RNAcentral.
GACGAACGCUGGCGGCGUGCUUAACACAUGCAAGUCGAACGGAAAGGCCCUGCUUUUGUGGGGUGCUCGAGUGGCGAACGGGUGAGUAACACGUGAGUAACCUGCCCUUGACUUUGGGAUAACUUCAGGAAACUGGGGCUAAUACCGGAUAGGAGCUCCUGCUGCAUGGUGGGGGUUGGAAAGUUUCGGCGGUUGGGGAUGGACUCGCGGCUUAUCAGCUUGUUGGUGGGGUAGUGGCUUACCAAGGCUUUGACGGGUAGCCGGCCUGAGAGGGUGACCGGCGAGAUUGGGGGGGGGGUACGGGCCAGAGGGCUACGGGGGGCAGGAGUGGGGAAUAUUGCAGAAUGGGCGGAAGCCUGAGGCAGCGACGGCGGGUGGGGGAGGAGGGCCUUCGGGGUGUAAACCGCUGUCGCCUGUGACGAAGCGUGAGUGACGGUAAUGGGUAAAGAAGCACCGGCUAACUACGUG